AAAGCGAAGUGUGAAGUGGGGAUAGGCGGAGGACCCCUCUUGCCCCUGUCCCUUCUUUCCAACCAGUGAACGCACAACGUCCAUCGAUGCCAAGUCGUGACUCGUAAUCGCGCAACGAAAGAAAACAUUUACACAACGAGAAAAGAAAUAAAAUAGAAUCACUCUGAUAUUCUCUCCUCUGUCCAUUCGUUUUCGCAAAAUGAACUCUGUUCACGAUUCUCGCAUUGUCUGGUUUAAUCCAUCGUUAAAUACCUAACCUAUAAUUUCUAAUAACUUCGAAUCGAGGUACAUCGUUGCGCACGAUCAUUUGGCAUGAUAGUAUCCCAGCGGUUGGAUAGAUGGGGCCAAUGGUGAUUCAAAGUCAGUUAAUGGGGAAUUCUGUCGGAGCGUUAUACGGUCAUUUCUGACGACUACUCGCGUAAUUGGUAUUCGAUUACCAGUGUGAUUCACGAAUCGACGACUCUCGCUUCGAUCAUUCGAACGAAUUGUGGCCGACACAAAUCGAAAUUUGUAUUUCGAAAAUAUGGCACGUUAAUCUUAUUUUCAAUAAUCUAAUUUUUUAAAAAUAACAUAAAAUUUAAUAGGAAUCGCGUGUGCUCGUUGUUGAAACGCAAUAGGCGGUAUAUAACGAUUAAAGAUAAUAUAAAUUUUUGAAUAAUUAAGUGUAAUAACGAGAUUAAUAUAUAUAUAUAUAUGACGAAAAAAAGUGUUAUCUUGUAAUCGUUAGAUGAAAAAAAUUAUUAUCGUAUUGCAUGACUCGUAUCGAUUACCUGCACACCUGUGUAUAAUCAACGAAAAAAAUAUCACGUAUAUCACGAUUAUGAAAUUAGUCGACGAAAAUACAAGAAAUACAUUUAAUCAAAAUAUAAAUUUCAACUUUUUUGAUCAACACUUGUUGGAAUAUUCAAUGUAAAAUAUAAAUUAUUUCAACAGAGCUAUAUUCUAUACUAUAUUGGACGUAUUAAUCCUGUGAGAAAGAAUUCAUUCAAAGAAUAAUGUAUAUAAAUAAUUGCAACGAAACACGAGUAAAAUCUCAGAAUCAUUUUUGCUUAUGCUCAUCGGUUCAAACAAUUAUUAAAUUUUCACAAAAAUAUAAAUCAAAGCAACAUUAAUCCAUAAUCUCUCCGACCUAACCUAAAACCAUUAACAAAUCCUGCCAGAAAAAAAUUAAACAACUCCACCAUCGUAAAUUUCUAUCGAGAGAUAAUAAAAUUAAAAACAAUUAAAAAACGAUUAAAUAGAUGAAAAAAAAUAAAGAGGCGAAGAAGAAAAAAGAACAAAUAAAUUAUAAUGAUUUAAAUGGCUUCGAACGAUGCGAGGAAAAAAGAAACGAGGGAGGAGAGAGGGGGGUGGAAAAUAAUGGAAGCGAAAAGGUCGAAGAGAGAAUGAUUGGCGCACGCAGGUUGGCGACCUGUAAUUCGUACGCAGCAUCGAGGAGACCGUAAUCCCUGUGAAACUGGUGAAACGCGACCCCUGGGUCCGAUUUUUGCUCGUUGGUUCGAGGGCGGAAUGCAAAACGCGUCACCCCCUCCCCCUAUGUCGAUACGAAUCGACGAAUCGAGGUUAACCGUGCGCGAUCAAGAUCGGGACCAUUCAUGCAAAUUAAAAUGUUUCCUGGUGGAAAACAUGGUGGAUUGGAUUUUGAAAUUUUUUGCUUUUGUUUAGAAGCUGUGGUAAAUUUAAAUUCUGGCAUUUCGUAAGAGCGAUGUAAAAAUGAAGACUGGAUACAAUAACGUGGAGGAAACAGAGGAAGCCGCCAGAAGGGUCGUUUCAAUUCAACGGUUCGUAAUAGUCGUACAAGGUACGAGGGUAACGAGUACAUAUGUACGUCAAUUAAACGGCGUGCACACAAGGGGCCAGCUGUGACGACUUACCUCGAAUGCAAGGCACAGCUACGCUGUACUGUGGGGAAACUCGAGGUGGGAGGCGGAGGUGGAGUGCAAUAUGCCGGUGGUAAUGGUGGAUCAUGUCUGUGAAGAUGGUUAUGCCGGUGACUGUGAGAAUAACUCAGAGAACCUCUCAGACUGCCGGGCAGAUGGCGAUGCGGCGUUGACUGAUCACUGAAAAUGAACAAUAAAAUGAUUUAAA
Apis cerana (Asiatic honeybee) is the source of this 2088-nucleotide long non-coding RNA. RefSeq lists it as uncharacterized. The record is from RefSeq and is a predicted model, not a curated record. Lineage: Eukaryota; Metazoa; Arthropoda; Insecta; Hymenoptera; Apidae.